Molecule: ribosomal RNA, 253 nt
Filed under: uncultured prokaryote
Description: partial 16S ribosomal RNA
Rfam family: Bacterial small subunit ribosomal RNA
Source: RNAcentral
ACGAAGGGGGCUAGCGUUGUUCGGAAUCACUGGGCGUAAAGGGCGCGUAGGCGGCUAUGUAAGUCGGGGGUGAAAGCCUGUGGCUCAACCACAGAAUUGCCUUCGAUACUGCAUGGCUUGAGACCGGAAGAGGUCAGCGGAACUGCGAGUGUAGAGGUGAAAUUCGUAGAUAUCCGCAAGAACACCAGUGGCGAAGGCGGCUCACUGGCCCGGUACUGACGCUGAGGUGCGAAAGCGUGGGGAGCAAACAGGA